RNAcentral lists this ribosomal RNA (449 nucleotides) under uncultured prokaryote. Its description in RNAcentral is "bacterial SSU rRNA". It matches the Rfam family "Bacterial small subunit ribosomal RNA", at positions 355 to 796 of the family's 1533-position model. The record is from RNAcentral.
UGGGGAAUAUUGGACAAUGGGGGCAACCCUGAUCCAGCCAUGCCGCGUGUGUGAAGAAGGCCCUAGGGUUGUAAAGCACUUUCAGUGGGGAAGAAAAGCUCGAGGCUAAUAUCCUCGGGUCAUGACGGUACCCACAGAAGAAGCACCGGCUAAUUCCGUGCCAGCAGCCGCGGUAAUACGGAAGGUGCAAGCGUUAAUCGGAAUUACUGGGCGUAAAGCGCGCGUAGGCGGUCAGAUAAGUCGGGUGUGAAAGCCCCGGGCUCAACCUGGGAACUGCAUUCGAUACUGUCUGGCUAGAGUGUGAUAGAGGGAGGUGGAAUUCCGCAUGUAGCGGUGAAAUGCGUAGAGAUGCGGAGGAACACCAAUGGCGAAGGCAACCUCCUGGAUCAACACUGACGCUGAGGUGCGAAAGCGUGGGGAGCAAACAGGAUUAGAUACCCCCGUAGUCC